Molecule: long non-coding RNA, 1126 nt
Filed under: Homo sapiens (human)
Lineage: Eukaryota; Metazoa; Chordata; Mammalia; Primates; Hominidae
Description: HSALNT0187863
Source: RNAcentral
GGAUAUCAUCCAAUCUGUUGAGGGCCUGCAUAGAACAAAAAGGCAGAGAACAUUGAAUUCCCUCUCUGUCUGAUGGUUGAAGUGGGACAUGGAGCUUCUCCUGCCCUUGGUGCUCCUGGUUUUCAGGACUUCAGACUUGGACUGGAAUCUAUGCCAUUGACCUCCGACUCUCAGGCCUUCAGACUACAGCAAUAGUUUUCCUAAGUCUCCAGCUUGCAGACAGCAAUAUCAGAUCAUGGGACUUCUCAGCCUCCAUAUCUGAGCCAAUACUUUGUGAUAAAGAAGGAUAUUCUAUUGGUUCUGCUUGUCUGGAGAACACUGAUGAAUACAUAUACAGCCUUUAAGGUCAUAAGAGUGGGGUCCUAAUAUGAUACGACUGAUGUUCUUGUAAGAAGAGAGCAAAACAGAGUCUGCCACUCCCACACAGAGAAGAGGCUAUUAAGGAUACAGUGAGACGGCAGCUGUCUGGAAACCAGGAAGGAGCCUCACUAAAAUCCAGCCCUGAUGGCACCUGGAUCAUGGACUUUCAAUUCCAGCACUGUGAGAAAAUAAAUUUCUGCUGCUUAAGCCACCCAGUCUGAUAUUUUGUGAUGGCAGUCCAAGCUGACUAAGACACCUGCCAAUCAUUAAGAAAAAGACAACCCAGCAAGGAGAAAAAGGCAAGAGACUUGAACAAGCACCUCACAAAAAUACCUCAAGGGCCAAUACAUAUGACAGAAUAUAUAUAGCAUCAGGGAUCUGCACAGGAAAACAGAAGCUACUCUAUGUAUUCCAGGUGUGAAGGGCUUUAUUAGAGGGAAUUAGAAGCUUAUAAAAACAUUUAGAGAGCUGGAAGAGUAGAGCUCAGAGAAGCUCCCACCCUCUCAGUCUACAUCAGUAAAGCCAAUAGUUCCCAAGAGUUUGUGUUCUCCAUAUAAUAGUUCUCAACAGGCUUCUAUGAAUCUAAUGUCUGCCUAUGAGUCUUGCUACAACCUCUUCUGAAGAAUAUGACCUUCCCUUCCCUUCUAGGAAUUGCCUCUAAAUGUUAGACUUCAAUGCAAAAUAAGACAGGUGGUUGUUAGGACUGUAGUCUCUGGUUUACCCUCUGUCAUACAGAAAAUAUCUUAGUAGGGAUGCUAAAUUUAAU